UACGAAGGGGGCUAGCGUUGCUCGGAAUCACUGGGCGUAAAGCGCACGUAGGCGGACUCUUAAGUCGGGGGUGAAAGCCCAGGGCUCAACCCUGGAACUGCCUUCGAUACUGGGAGUCUUGAGUAUGGUAGAGGUUGGUGGAACUGCGAGUGUAGAGGUGAAAUUCGUAGAUAUUCGCAAGAACACCAGUGGCGAAGGCGGCCAACUGGACCAUUACUGACGCUGAGGUGCGAAAGCGUGGGGAGCAAACAGG
This 253-nucleotide ribosomal RNA is filed under the name uncultured bacterium. RNAcentral describes it as "partial 16S ribosomal RNA". It matches the Rfam family "Bacterial small subunit ribosomal RNA", at positions 524 to 776 of the family's 1533-position model. The record is from RNAcentral.